GAGGGUUGACAAAGAAAAUAGUAAUCCAAACUUGCAAAAUAUUUUUUCACAAACAUCUAGUCCUAAUAAGACUCCAGGUUCAAGGCCGACUGCUAUUUCUUCAAAUGCGCUCAUACAAGCUGCAGCAAGGCAAUCUCGAAUGUUUAAAGCAAUGGAUCCAAAGAACUAGCUGGAUUGGACUCUAGAUCACGGGCAGUUUAGUCUUCGAAGUUAAUUAGGAUGGCUAAAUUACAUUUGAGUUUUAUUUGAUGGAUAUUUUUUAUCAGAAUUAUGAAUUGUAUGAAUCUACAUAUUAUACGUAUGGUUUUGAAUAUUGUAAUUGAAACCCUGUAAUUUUUUUUACGGUUGCAAUAGACUAUUAUCACAACCCA
Molecule: long non-coding RNA, 371 nt
Organism: Triticum aestivum (bread wheat)
Lineage: Eukaryota; Viridiplantae; Streptophyta; Magnoliopsida; Poales; Poaceae
Exons: 2
Source: RefSeq, a predicted model, not a curated record